AGAGUGAGGAGGGAUCACUUCGCUGUGAAGAGCUGUGUGGACGGGAGUCUGCCCAGGAGCCCAGGGAUGAAGGAAAUCUUGGACAUCUUUUGUUGUGUCACCACUUGUUAUCUGCUGCUAGCUGGUGUCGGGGGACUGAAAGACAAGAUAACUGACAUGCAGAGAAAGCAGAGCUCUGUAAGAAGAUUACUUCAUUCAUCUGCAGUCUGUGAGGGUCAGGCACCACCAGAGAAAUUGGAAUUGGAUGUUUUUAUGUAGAUAGGCCUUCAGCACACUGAUCUCAGUCUUCCCACGUAUGCUAUCGGGGCAAAAUUAAUGUGCAAACGUUGACUUGUGUUUAAAAAUAAUUUAGACAGAUAGUAUAUGCAUGGGCAGUAUAAAGUCUGGCUUUAUUUUGUGUUUAUGAUUUUAUGUCAAUAAUUACUUUGUUUCUUCUGAAGGAAUAACAUUUUAAGAGAUGAUUAUACCUGAAGAUGUUCUGCUUAGUUCAGUUUAUCACAAAUCGUGGUGUCUUCCUAUUAAAUCAAGUCUUCCUGAUUAUUGUAUUUUGUUAUGCAGCAGCAUUGUAUAUAAUGAUUUCUUCCUUUUCUGUCAUGCUGUUGCAAGAGUCAUUGAAAUCUGCUGUGUACAUACACCUGCCAGGCUUUGUGCUCCAGCAUUCAUUUUUUGUUGUUCCCCCCCCCCGCCCUCCAGCUCCCUGUACUGCCCCAGAAAUUAUCACGCUGCUACCCUUCCCAUCUAUUCUGGUGUUUCAAGGCAGAAAAUAGAAAAUCGGGGGGAGAUUGAAGUUGGAUAAACCCAGAAGAACUUCAAAUGUCUGCGGAUAAGAAGGCCACCAAACACAUUCACAAGUUGCAAGGGAGGUUCUUGGCCCUGGCUGUUGACUGCCUAUACCUCGCUGCUUUCUCCUAGCCCCAAGGAAAGGUUUUAUGCUGACUGAACAUUUAUUAGUAUUGUUAUUCACUAGUUUCAUCCACUGCUUAUUCAACCAUGCCGCACUAAAUCUGUUUGCUUCAUGGCUCACAUCUCCAUUUCUUCUCUUUUUAUCAGAUAGAGCCAUUCUGAAUUACAGUAUAUUCAGUGGCAACAAAUGCACUGUGGUGCAACAGUUCCUAUAAGUUCUCUGCCUUCAGAAGUACCCUCUGGAUGCUGGAAAGUAAUCACACGUAUGGUAGAGUUUACAUUAUCAAGUGUUAUUUAACCUGAAGUAGGAUUCAGAGUUUGGCUUCUCUUAUUAAGUUAUGAUAAACCUAUGCAAAAUCAAUAC
Molecule: long non-coding RNA, 1267 nt
Organism: Gallus gallus (chicken)
Lineage: Eukaryota; Metazoa; Chordata; Aves; Galliformes; Phasianidae
Source: Ensembl